Long non-coding RNA from Bubalus bubalis (water buffalo), 2262 nucleotides. RefSeq lists it as uncharacterized. The transcript has 2 exons. Lineage: Eukaryota; Metazoa; Chordata; Mammalia; Artiodactyla; Bovidae. The record is from RefSeq and is a predicted model, not a curated record.
GAGUCGGACACGACUGAAGUGACUUAGCAGCAGCAGCAGGCCUUAUUCUCUAAAAUUCUGAUUAAGCCUACAUUUUUCAGUUGAAGAUGGGAUAUAUGUUGGCUGGAGAAAGGACAGGAGAGUGAAAUUUGGUCAAUAGGAAAAUGAUCACUGGGGAAAAGGUCAGAAGCCAGUGUCUCUAAAAGUAAGAUUUCCAGUCCCCUAAAACUUUAUGAAAAAGUGCAGAAACUUACCUACAUGAGCCCAGUUUGAUCAAAAAAUUCUAAGAAAAUGCUGCUUAUAGAUGCUUUCAAUAAUUCCUUAAUUAUAUGAGACUAUCUGGGCACUUGUAUUUCUGACUCAUCUAAUUCUAAAAGAAACCUCAAAUGUUUUUUGCCACAAUAGGGCAAUAAUAGGCAAAGUUAGUGACUCUCUUGCUGACGCUGCAACUUCCGUGUCACCUGGGAAUUUUUUAGAGAUGAAAAUUACCAAGCCCACUCUAAACCUACUGAAUCAGAAUUUGUGUGGGUGGGGCCCAGCCACUUGUUUUUUGAUGAGAUCUCUGGGUGUUUCCCAUUCCUGAAUUUUGAUAAACUCUGGUAUAAGUCAUUUAGGGCAGAUAGCAUUUUUCCCAACUUAAAAGAAAUGAAGCAGAAGAAAAAGGCAUAACUUCCUUCCCAUGGUGAAUGCAUUUUAGCACCCCCAACUCGGGAAGGAUCAGAGAGGAGCAUGAAGUGAGAAACCACCACUAGUCUAUUGCAGGAAGCCCAGCAGGAUUCCAGCGCACAACCACCUGAGGGUCUGCUCUCACAGGUGCAAUCAAUAUGCAUGGAACCAUCGGACUCCUUACACCUAAUCUAAAUCCUCUUUCUGCAAAUUAAGCUUUUCUCUUUGUUUAAUUUGCAGUGGAAAAGAACAGCUGGUGGGUAAAAUUAGUAUGAAAAAUGUCUAUAUACUUAAGGUCCAUGAUUUAAGUCCUUCCUGACUUCUUUCCUCAAAGUAAAAAACACUUUCUUCUCUUACUUUCAAACUCUCUCUUGAACUAUCAUCCUAGUACUUGUUAGGCAAAUCUAAAUUAAUUACUUUUAAACUUCAGAUUUUGAAAGAAUAAAACCAUCUAGUCUUGCUAUACUUAAAAACUGCUACAUACUCAAGAGAUAAGCAUAGCCAGAAUCUCUCCACGGGAACUCAGAUGACUUCCAACACAUGCCUACUUUUCAUCAAUCCCCACUGUAUCAUUAACAUUACAUAAAGAUUAUAGUUUAAUAUACUCGCCCUUUUAUUUUUUUAUAUAUAUUUUGCUCAUGUUUAGGAAAAAAUUUUAAAAAUGCACAUUCUUGGAAUAUCCUGCUGACAUCCACUUUGUUGGUAAAGCACCCCAAUUUCUGCGCUAACAUUUCACAGUUCUCCUUGUGCCUUUAAUGGGAUUAAGUACAGCCCGCUCCAGGUGUGGAUAGUAAUUCAGACUGGCCAAUCAGAUCACUGCCUCCUCCCAUCCAUGCCACUUGGAUCAGGGGUUAGCGCUUGACUUACUUCAGACCAAACAGAGACAAGGAGACAGUAAAGUUAGAAUCUCAUAUUCUUUGCUUAAACUUUUGAGGAAGGGGUACGUUUUUUCAGGUGCAAUUGCUAAGAGGAUGGAACAUGAGUCUAGCGCUGUCAGCAGCCUUCUGUCCACCUAACUGGAGAACCUACCAUAAGCAGAAACAACACAGAGAGAAGCAGGGCUAAGAGAUGGAAAGACUCCUGAGAAGGCUCCAAAACAGAUUUUAAACCACAGAGUGGAAAUUUUCAGGGAAAAUAAAAAACUCUGGAAAAGACUCACCAUGCCAGAUCUGUUGAAGAAUAUUUAUGAUUAAUGGGAGGAGCAAAAAACAUCACAUUAAUAACAAGGGUUUGGAAGAGGUUGAUUCCAGUCUUCAUGGGUGACUUUGAAGGGUUCAAGACUUCAGUGAAGAAAGUAACUGCAGAUGUGCUGGAUAUAACAAGAGAACUAGAAGUGGAGCCUAAAGAUGUAACUGAAUUGUAAUCUCAUGAUAAACUUGAAUGGAUGAAGAGGUGUUUUUUAAGGAUAAUGAAAGAAAUGGUUUCUUGAAAUGGAAUCUACUCCUAGUGAUAAUUCUGUGAAGAUUAUUGGAAUUAUAAGAAGGGAAUAAGAAUAUUACAUAAAUUUGGUUGAUAUAGCAGAGGCAAGAAUUGAGAGGAUUAACUCCAAUUUUAAAAUAUAUUUUACUAUGAGUAAAAUGCUAUCAAAUAACAUUACAUGCUGCAGAGAUAUCAUUU